This 126-nucleotide non-coding RNA is filed under the name Trypanosoma theileri. Its description in RNAcentral is "Eukaryotic large subunit ribosomal RNA". It matches the Rfam family "Eukaryotic large subunit ribosomal RNA", at positions 2197 to 2322 of the family's 3401-position model. The record is from Rfam by way of RNAcentral. Lineage: Eukaryota; Euglenozoa; Kinetoplastea; Trypanosomatida; Trypanosomatidae.
UCUGUGGGGUGCAUUGAAUGGCGGCGUGGUGGUAUCUAUCGACAUGUGUGUGAGCGACUGGAGUAACUAUGACUCUCUUAAGGUAGCCAAAUGCCUCGUCUUCCAAUUAGAGACGCGCAUGAAUGG